UAAAGAUUCAUCGCUGAUAGAUAGGCAUGCGUUCCAUUAGGCAGUUGGCGGGGUAACGGCCCACCAAGCCGACGAUGGAUAGGGGUUCUGAGAGGAAGGUCCCCCACAUUGGUACUGAGACACGGACCAAACUCCUACGGGAGGCAGCAGUGAGGAAUAUUGGUCAAUGGCCGAGAGGCUGAACCAGCCAAGUCGCGUGAGGGAUGAAGGUUCUAUGGAUCGUAAACCUCUUUUAUAAGGGAAUAAAGUGCGGGACGUGUCCCGUUUUGUAUGUACCUUAUGAAUAAGGAUCGGCUAACUCCGUGCCAGCAGCCGCGGUAAUACGGAGGAUCCGAGCGUUAUCCGGAUUUAUUGGGUUUAAAGGGUGCGUAGGCGGCCUUUUAAGUCAGCGGUGAAAGUCUGUGGCUCAACCAUAGAAUUGCCGUUGAAACUGGGGGGCUUGAGUAUGUUUGAGGCAGGCGGAAUGCGUGGUGUAGCGGUGAAAUGCAUAGAUAUCACGCAGAACCCCGAUUGCGAAGGCAGCCUGCCAAGCCAUGACUGACGCUGAUGCACGAAAGCGUGGGGAUCAAACAGGAUUAGAUACCCUGGUAGUCCACGCAGUAAACGAUGAUCACUAGCUGUUUGCGAUACACUGUAAGCG
Molecule: ribosomal RNA, 640 nt
Filed under: uncultured bacterium
Lineage: Bacteria
Description: bacterial SSU rRNA
Rfam family: Bacterial small subunit ribosomal RNA
Source: RNAcentral